This 253-nucleotide ribosomal RNA is filed under the name uncultured bacterium. RNAcentral's name for it is "partial 16S ribosomal RNA". It matches the Rfam family "Bacterial small subunit ribosomal RNA", at positions 524 to 776 of the family's 1533-position model. The record is from RNAcentral.
UACAGAGGUCCCGAGCGUUGUUCGGAUUCACUGGGCGUAAAGGGUGCGUAGGUGGCCUGAAAAGUUUGAUGUGAAAGCUCAGGGCUUAACCCUGAAAUGGCAUUGAAUACUGUCGGGCUGGAGGUUUGGAGGGGGGACUGGAAUUCCUGGUGUAGCGGUGAAAUGCGCAGAUAUCAGGAGGAACACCGAUGGCGAAGGCAGGUCUCUGGGCAUUAACUGACGCUGAGACGCGAAAGCGUGGGGAGCGAACAGG